CCAGGAGCACCGCUGGGUAGCUAUGUACGGACGGGAUAAGCGCUGAAAGCAUCUAAGCGUGAAGCCCCCCUCAAGAUGAGAUUUCCCAGUAUGUAAGACCCCUUGAAGACGACGAGGUAGAUAGGCUGGGGGUGGAAGUGCAGCAAUGCAUGGAGCUGACCAGUACUAAUCGGUCGAGGGCUUAUCCAA
Molecule: ribosomal RNA, 189 nt
Filed under: Paenibacillus polysaccharolyticus
Lineage: Bacteria; Bacillati; Bacillota; Bacilli; Caryophanales; Paenibacillaceae
Description: 23S rRNA. Bacterial LSU
Rfam family: Bacterial large subunit ribosomal RNA
Source: RNAcentral